Rhipicephalus sanguineus (brown dog tick) is the source of this 443-nucleotide long non-coding RNA. RefSeq lists it as uncharacterized. The transcript has 4 exons. NCBI's taxonomy places the organism in Eukaryota, Metazoa, Arthropoda, Arachnida, Ixodida, Ixodidae. The record is from RefSeq and is a predicted model, not a curated record.
GCGCGAUGGCAUACGCCGAUGGCCUCAAACGGUUUCGUGAGGUGAAGUUUGUUUAGGGGCAGUUGCUGGUUGUACAGCUGUUGGCAUAUUGGAGGCGCAUCCACCUACGUUGCGAUGGCUUACCUGGCUUCGCUCCUGGUGCUGCAGCCAUCGCUGCAAGCUUCGCCGUGUUCCACGCGAGCAUGGCGGUUUCCGCCCCGCAAUCGUGGUUACCAGCUUCCUGACUUCCAGCACGGAAAGAAAUCAAGCUCUGAUGCAAGCAUCGUCGCCCCAACUAUCUGCGCAUGGCCUUUUUCUACGAUGACGUCACUACCAGCACAGGACUUAAGCUUACCUGGCUUCGCUCCUGGUGCUGCAGCCAUCGCUGCAAGCUUCGCCGUGUUCCACGCGAGCAUGGCGGUUUCCGCCCCGCAAUCGUGGUUACCAGCUUCCUGACUUCCAGC